AGAAUCAACGCUGGCGGCGUGCCUAACACAUGCAAGUCGCACGAGAAAGUGGAGCAAUCCACGAGUAAAGUGGCGCACGGGUGAGUAACACGUGAAUGAUCUACCUCCGAGUGGGGAAUAACUGAGAGAAAUCUUAGCUAAUACCGCAUAACACUUACGAGUCAAAGCAGCAAUGCGCUUGGAGAGGAGUUCGCGGCCGAUUAGCUAGUUGGCGGGGUAAUGGCCCACCAAGGCGAUGAUCGGUAUCCGGCCUGAGAGGGCGCACGGACACACUGGAACUGAAACACGGUCCAGACUCCUACGGGAGGCAGCAGUGGGGAAUUUUGCGCAAUGGGGGAAACCCUGACGCAGCAACGCCGCGUGGAGGAUGAAGCCCCUUGGGGUGUAAACUCCUUUCGAUCGGGAAGAUGAUGACGGUACCGAUAUAAGAAGCCCGGCUAACUUCGUGCCAGCAGCCGC
Molecule: ribosomal RNA, 459 nt
Filed under: uncultured bacterium
Lineage: Bacteria
Description: SSU rRNA
Rfam family: Bacterial small subunit ribosomal RNA
Source: RNAcentral